Molecule: ribosomal RNA, 429 nt
Filed under: Verrucomicrobiota bacterium
Lineage: Bacteria; Pseudomonadati; Verrucomicrobiota
Description: Verrucomicrobia bacterium partial 16S ribosomal RNA
Rfam family: Bacterial small subunit ribosomal RNA
Source: RNAcentral
UAGGGAAUCUUCCGCAAUGGACGAAAGUCUGACGGAGCAACGCCGCGUGAGUGAAGAAGGAUUUCGGUUCGUAAAACUCUGUUGUUAGGGAAGAAAAAAUGUAUAGUAACUAUAUACAAAAGAGACGGUACCUAACCAGAAAGCCACGGCUAACUACGUGCCAGCAGCCGCGGUAAUACGUAGGUGGCAAGCGUUGUCCGGAAUUUUUGGGCGUAAAGCGCGCGCAGGUGGUUUAGAAAGUCUGAUGUGAAAGCCCACGGCUCAACCGUGGAGGGUCAUUGGAAACUAAUAAACUUGAGUGCAGGAGGGAGAAGUGGAAUUCCUAGUGUAGCGGUGAAAUGCGUAGAGAUUAGGAGGAACACCGGUGGCGAAAGCGGCUUUUUGGCCUGCAACUGACACUGAGGCGCGAAAGCGUGGGGAGCAAACAGG